Long non-coding RNA from Diachasmimorpha longicaudata, 1137 nucleotides. RefSeq lists it as uncharacterized. The record is from RefSeq and is a predicted model, not a curated record. NCBI's taxonomy places the organism in Eukaryota, Metazoa, Arthropoda, Insecta, Hymenoptera, Braconidae. The transcript is spliced from 3 exons.
AUUUAGAUUACUGAUUCGAUACCGUUGUACACAAAACACGUCACGGACAGUUCGCAGGCUCAAACUAGUAUUUCCCCAGUAUACGUUAACCUCGAAUUAUUAAAUUAUUCGAGCGUGGAACGCGCUGAAAAUAAAGUGGUCAGGGAAAUUUUGUCAUUGAAAUUAUUUUCAUGGGGAUCAAUUCAUUUAUCUCAUUCGAUUUCCAACUCAUCCCGGUAUUUCUGUCACAUAAAUGUUGAAUGGAUGAAAUUUUACAAAAAAGAUGAAUGAAAUCGGAUUUUUUCCGACUCUUCAACUUAUUCUGUUCAGGAAUCUUCGGUAAAAAUUCUGUUUCUCGAAUUCGAAAGCGAAAAAAGUAACGAAUACGAUGACGAUACAAAAAAUAACGAUAUUCUUACCUCAUUGAGACAAUCAAAACAACACCAGGGGCGUAGUUAGGGGCUAGGGCCCCUCGCGCCAUCUGACAUUUGUUUUCAAAUUCGAAGUAAUCGAAAUUUUUGAAUCAUUUCUGAAACAUUUAGUGCACAUAGUGAAGAUAAAUGUUUCUUUCAUACUUAAUGUGUUCAUAGCUAAUAAUUCUGUUAAUAGAUCUGUGGGAAAAUCGAUUUGUUAUCAAAAUUUCAAUCCCUGAUCCAAUAUAUCACAAUGAAGGCGCAAAAUAUAAUUCGCUUUUGCCCCCAGGGACGCUGCCCCCCUCCCCCCUGGAGCCCUACCCACUCCUGUCAACGAGACCCAACUGUUCUAACAACACAAUAUACAAUUUCAAUAGACAUCUAAUAGAAUUUUCAACCGAAUUCCCUCGAUUUUCCUGUAGAAUCCAGUCAUCCAUGACAGCCAGAGACAAAAGAAUAUUUAAACAAUUUGCUCAUUAGACAGAUCCGAGGAUUCGUUCUCCAUACGAUUGUCAAUUGUAUGAGAGAGACAGUGCUGGGCAACGUUUUCACAGUAAAUACAUUGGCUCUCGAUAUAACCACGUAAACAGUGGAUGAUAAUGCAAUUUGGAUAAUACCCAGACGUACUCAAUGAUGAUAUAGGGUGAUCCAAACGUCAUGUGAUGUAGGUGCAGAUGUGGAUAGGUAUUCACACGUAUGAGCAUGGGGUGUUAUUCGGAGACUAUUGAAAAUCAUCGAGGGGAGU